GCCAGGGCAGCCCGGGCUGGACCAGGCCUCCAGGUGUUUGCAGUCGCAGCCCCUCCCGUGGGCGGCGGGCCUGGGGGCGGGGCAGGCCUGCGGCGCGUGUUCCGGCUCUGGGGUCACGAGUGCGCUGUGUGUCUGUAGACAAGUCACUUGGCCUCUCUGGACCACCUCGGGGGCGCAGCCUCCUAACUCGAUGGGAUGAAGAGGUGGUAGCAGAGACUUCCGAGCCCCGGAGGAGGGGGUGCGGGCCUGUACCCCCCCCUCCGACCCCGGGGGCGUGGAGCGAGAUCGUGACUCAGCCGCCCUGGGCACCCAGUUCAGGCUCUGCCGCGGGCUUCCCUCUGCCGUUUGCUCGCAGGAGCCCAGGUACCUGGGUCACCUCACCGAGGGCGCGACGGAGGCCGGGCUCCCAGCCCGCGGACCCAGAUGCCCUCUGACCCAUCUGACCUCGCCCUGAAGGUGGCCUAGGGCCGGGCCAGGGGUCUUGGGGUCCCCAGCAAGGCGGGAGAUCGGAGGGGCAGCAGAGAAGCCAUCCCCCGCCCCUGGGGAGGCCUUUCCGCAGGUUCGGCAGCCCCCCUCCCCGCCCCGCCCCGCCCCGCCCCCGCGGAAUGCUGAGUCCCUGCCCCCUGCCUGAGUUUCUCCCGAGGAGGAGGCUGGAAGUGCUCACCCGGUUUCAGUCGUCACACGCACAGCCUUGGCCGCACCCUUAGGCCUGGGCGGCCAGGGCCAGGGACACACAUGCGCACGCGCGCGCGCGCGCGCGCGCACACACACACACACACACACACACACACACACCAGGGCCAGGGAUAUGGGUGAACACGCGCACACACACAGCCAGAGCUGCUUCACACACACACCCCAGGGCCAGGGAUAAAUGUGCGCACACACACACACACCCAGAGCUGCUUCUCACAUCCAUCUGGGGAGGGCAGACCCACUGAGCUGUGCCAAGAAGGGAGGACAGGGUGUGUGGGGAGGGGUGGGGGUGGGGGGCAGCCCAGCGAUCCUGGGGUGGAGGGGAGUGGGGGAGAGGCCCGCGUCCCCGGUCAGCACUCUGCACUGAGGCUGUGGCCCGAGGCUGGGCCCAGGGCACCUCUCCCUGUGACCUCGUUGGUGUCAUUGCUCUCUUGGGCCUCAGUCUGUUCAAGGUGGGGCUCACUGGGUGACCUGGGGACCCUCAUGACCCAGAACCACCAGCUCCUCUGACAGUGUCGGCCGUCAUGGGAUUCGGUGAGCAUCAGCCCUUCGGGCGUGUACGCUGGAGACACGCUCGGCUCCAGACCACAGAGCAAACGGCAGGGCCAGGCAGGUGGAAAAUUCCCCCUGGCAUGCAGCCCAGGCUCUGCUUGCCGGGUGGGCCCCAGCCAGGUCUGGGGGACUGCAGGCAGCCUGGCAGCCACAGGGAGCUGGCCAGGGCCUCCCAGCUCAGCUGCCCCCACCCAAACUCCAGAAUCCUGUCUGCUCAGGCCGGCAGACGGGACAGGGAGCUGUGGGAAGCUUGUGGAGGUUUGUUGGGCCCUUGGAGCUUCUCGGCAGUUGCAGCCCUGGGUGGAGGUGGCUGUGCGAGCUCCUUGCCAUCCCCCGGCCAAGUGAGUGGUCCCGGGACCCUUGUGGUGGGCUGGGGGCUGCAGCUGUCUGCAUGGCCAGGCGGGCAGAGCUCUGGCAGGUGUCGUGGCGUGGAUGUCCCUGUGUCUGCUCCUGCUCACUGCCAGCCUCCACCUGGUGACCUUGGGCAGGCACUCCCUGGCUCAGGCCUCUCUGUGUUCCUCUGGGACUGUUGGGCUCUCCUCCUGGAAGGACACGAAGCCACGCCCACCAGACCUGGGAAGUACAAACUCUGCAGGCCUGCGGGACUUGGGGCUGGGGGGCAGGACACGUCCCAGGGUCCCUUGUGCUGGAAGCCAGGGUGGGGGCCCUUGUACCACUGCCUACUCCUGGCCGCCGUUUCUCCCGGCCUGUCUCCCUGAAGGCCCUUCCCAAAGCCUGGAGCUGCUUUCUGGAAUGUUUACCCACAAACAUUUUUAUGUCGCUGGUCGGUUCAGUGGGGCUUUUGGAGCCGAGGAAACCCCUUUGGCUUUUCCAGGUUUCGUGUGGCCAGCCGGUCCCUCACACUGCUCCCACUUGGAGGACCCGGGAGGGCCACCGUCCCGGGCGCAGUGGACUCACGCCCCACUGGAAGGCUACCCAGAGGGCAUGACCCACUGACCGCGCGUCACCGCCGACACGGGUGGGGAGCACGGUCCGUCUGGGCAGAGGAGGUGCUGGAGAUAAGACAGGGCAUGACCCCGACUCCAUGACAGCCAGCGAGCCUGCUCCAGGAACCCAACCGCCGUGACUCACGGCCCGCCAAUCAGGACGCCAGGCCGCCUGCCUUUCUAGUCAGGCACACCUGUAACCUGCCAGCCAUCUGUUGGGCCAUACCCUGCCCCAGCCGUUCCCGAGAGAAAUACAAACCUCUUUACACGGGUGCGUGUGGGAGCUCUGUGGCUCUGCCACAGGGGCAGCACGCACGGCCGUGUGCUGAGUACAGAGAGCAUAGACGCACACGAGCACACCUGCCCGGGGAGCCGUGCAUCCGCUCCUGCCCCCCCGCCAGGCUUGCCGCUAUCUCCCGCCCCUACCCCCAGUGGAGAUGACAGAAGAGGCCCAGCAGACGGCAGCGUCCAGGGGGCCAGGGAGCUCCUCGCCCUCAAAAGAGCAAACAAAGACACUUGAGCCUGCCUCGUCCCUGAAGUCCCUCGGGGAAUACUGCAGUGGGAAGGGACUGAGAGGUCCCUAGCAAAGCCACAGGUCAUAGGUGAGGGCCCUGCAUCCAGGGCAGCCUGGCCACACUCUGGCCUCAUGGGCCUACCCAGCUUGGAGGGCAGCCUGGCAGUGGUGGGCAGGCAGCCCCAGAGGGAGGCCCGGAGAAGGGCACUGUGCCCCGGGACCCGAGGGCUGGGAGGACCAUCAGGGUAGAGGGUGCAUGGGGAGAGUCGUCUGGGGGAUGUGGGCUCAUCCUGGAGGACCGUCGCGGAGGAGGGUGCGUGGGGAGAGAUGUCCGGGGGACGUGGACUCGCGCUGGAGGACCAUCAGGGGAAGGGGUGCGUGGGGAGAGACGUCGGGGGACGUGGGCUCAUCCUGGGGGACUGUCAGGGGAGGGGGUGCAUGGGGAGAGACGGGGGACGUGGGCUCGCGCUGGAGGACCAUCGGGAGGAGGUGCGUGGGGAGAGACGCCAGGGGACGUGGGCUCACCCUGGGGGGCGCAGAGGAGACCCACUUCGCCCUUCCUCACCCCCACAUGCAAUGUGCUUUUGCUGCGAGUCCUGACCUGGGGAAUGGCCUGGACUGAACCCAGCACAGCCCCGCACUGCCAGGCAGGACGUGGCAGUUGCAUCAGGUCGUUGGUGGCCGCGCUGGGGCUGGGGACCGGGUCAGCCGGGCGCCCACCUCCCUGAGUCAGUGUUCACGUCUGCAGCUUCAGCAAAGGACCUCCCCUCGGCUCCCAAGAUCAGGGGCUCAUUCCAGGCCGGUCUGCAGACCCACAGACUCAGACUGCUGGUUUGGACAGGAGAGAAAAAAGAGUGACAGGUGGGCACGGAGUACCCCGUCACCCUCCGAGGAUCCCCGGGUGCUGGACUCCUGGACGCAAGUCCCAAGGACCCCCACCUCUGGGUCACAGCCCAUUGCCAGACUGGCUGAAUGGGAGGCCCAGGGCCCUUCCACCUGGGGGUCCCAGGGGCUGCACUGCAUGGACGUGAGCAUCCAGGACCACUUGAGGGUGGCUCUUAGCGGGGCAGGGGACGAGGCCAGUGUGAAGGAGGAGAGACGUGGGCAUUUCUGAGGGACUCUCUUUGUCUCGGAGAUGCUGCUCAGUGGUGUGGUUGGAUGUCCAGGGCAAGCCUUCUAGGCAAGGCUUACCGCCAGGAGACCUGAGGGUCAGAAGGUAAAGGGACCUGGCCCUGGCCUACCCAGCCUGGACCACCCGGCGUCCGCAGUGAGGGUGGGACUCGGAGCAGCUGCUGGGUGCAGAGGGACCCUCGCACGGAAUCCAGCCGCCCCGCCUCAGUGCCAGCCUGUGUCUGCCGCUGCUCGGACAGGUGCCACGCCUCCCCGUCGGUUCCUCUGCGCGUUUUUCUGGGCUGAGCCUGGCUGGCGGCCCUGCCAGGACAUGACGGUAGGGAAGGACACGGCGGCAGGGGCGCCUGGCAGUGAAUGAUCUGCUUGUCCCCGCCCACCACCUGAGGCACGGAGGGAGGCGAGGCUGUGCCAGCGGCUGGGGGCGAGGGGCUGGGCCAUCUGGAGCACCCCCUCGUCUCCCACACUCACCCCCUAAGCAGAGGGGCUUCCUGCCGGCCCCCAGGCUGCAGCCAGACCCUGCCACAGCCACAGCCCACAGCUGGGGGCUUGGCUGUCCCCAGAGAUCUCACCCUGACCCUCCCCACUCACCCCAGAGCUCCAGGACCAGUUCCCGGGCUGCCAGGGGCCUCCAGGUGCCCCAGGGGGACAGCCUGACGGAGCUGUCUGCAGGGAAAGCUACAGACGUGCAGGGGGUCCCUGGGGGAAGGGGUGGGCGGGGCAGAACAGGGAACCGCCCCCCAUGGGCUUCCCAGGCGGCUCCAGCUUGCCCGCCCCACCUGGCCCCCCAGGCCUGGUCCUGAGAUUCUGGCAGCAGCUCUCUCCUCUUCUCUGCCCCGGCUGGGUGACCCUCCACUCCUCCCAGCAGCCUGGCUCUUCCUGGAAUCAGCCUGUCUCCCUGCCAGCUGCUGGCCUGCUGGACCGUGGCCCGCCUCCCAUCUGAGAACCAGCACCCUCUCUCGUCCUUAGUCUGUUCCUGGAGGAACCCCUGCGAAGGUUUGCCUCUAGGAAGCCUUCCUGACUCACCCAGGACCACCCGGUGGGCCUCCACAUCCCGCCCCAGCACCCCGCACCCCACAUACACCCGCCCGUUGCCAGGGCCCUGCUGCAACGCCCAGGCAACGGGCGGAGGCAUUGUCUUGCUGACCACGCCCCACUGGAGCCUGGCUGUGUUCAGUCUCCCCCAGUGGAUUUUCCUGGAGUCACAUUUCUAAUAAAGGAGCAACUUCCACAUC
This is a long non-coding RNA of Bubalus bubalis (water buffalo), 5072 nucleotides long. RefSeq lists it as uncharacterized. The transcript has 2 exons. The record is from RefSeq and is a predicted model, not a curated record. Lineage: Eukaryota; Metazoa; Chordata; Mammalia; Artiodactyla; Bovidae.